Molecule: long non-coding RNA, 614 nt
Organism: Pieris napi
Lineage: Eukaryota; Metazoa; Arthropoda; Insecta; Lepidoptera; Pieridae
Exons: 5
Source: RefSeq, a predicted model, not a curated record
UCGUGUUUCGCACCGCGCUCCGAACGCGCGUCUGUCCCUGCCCGGACCUCCCAAAACCGAUAAUAACUAAUGCGAUUUGUUUACUAUUUAUCAUCACGUGCUCACAAAUAUAAUGACGGACAGUGGCUAAACAGAAAUCGAACAGCGACUCAACUAAUCUCACAACAGAUCGUGUCCCUUACUGGUUAAAAGUAAUGUGGUGCGUGGGGUAAACACAAGUAUUACAUCCCUCAUCCACGGUGGCGGGGUAUACGCGCCAUGCUGUGUACGCGGGCAGCGCAAGCACCUACCAUGCGCGCUCGCCCGCUGUACCCCUCAAUGCGAACGGUGAACCAAUCAAGCUGCCGGAAAAUCUAGAAAGCUUGCCGCGAGCGGAACAUUUUGCCGCUCAAAGACAUCGCUGGAACACCAAUGAGGAAAUUGCGGCUAUACUCAUUAGCUUUGACAAGCACACGGAAUGGCAGUCGAAGGAAGUCAAAAUACGGCCAAAAAGCGGCUCCAUGCUACUGUACAGUCGAAAGAAGGUCCGGUACAGGCGCGAUGGAUACUGCUGGAAGAAACGGAAAGACGGAAAGACAACCCGAGAAGAUCACAUGAAAUUGAAGGUUCAAGGU